Molecule: transfer RNA, 93 nt
Filed under: Terriglobia bacterium
Lineage: Bacteria; Pseudomonadati; Acidobacteriota; Terriglobia
Description: tRNA-Tyr
Rfam family: tRNA
About the family: Transfer RNA (tRNA) molecules are approximately 80 nucleotides in length. Their secondary structure includes four short double-helical elements and three loops (D, anti-codon, and T loops).
Source: RNAcentral
GCGUCGGUGGCAGAGUGGCGAAUGCAACAGGCUGUAACCCUGUUCUCCCUUGUGGAGCUAACACCGGAUGUUCGAGUCAUCCCCGGCGCACCA